This is a long non-coding RNA of Mustela erminea (ermine), 732 nucleotides long. RefSeq lists it as uncharacterized. Lineage: Eukaryota; Metazoa; Chordata; Mammalia; Carnivora; Mustelidae. The transcript is spliced from 3 exons. The record is from RefSeq and is a predicted model, not a curated record.
UGAAUUCUAAUUACCCUGUAACUUCCAGCUGGGGGAGCGGGGUGCGGUUUGCAGGACUCACACCUCCGGGCUAAAGAUUUCAUACUCCAGAAGUGUGAAGUUGAACGAAACCGCCAUGAUCUUGACAACAUUUUCCCACUUUGAAAAGAUACUAUCUCAAAGCUUCAUUGACAAAACUGUUAUGUCUGUGUUCAACUUGACUAACACUGGGGGGUGAGCAUUGACCUUAACAGCUGCAUAGCAUGCUGACACACACUGAGCUCUCCGUAAACGAUGGCUGAUGUUCUACUUGGGAUUAGAAGACGAGUGAAUUGUUCUGAGAAGUGAGAAAACAACCCCUUGUGGGACCUUUUGAACUGGUCUCCUUGGGCUAAGCGGAGACUUGCCGGUGGAAAAGUUGGUGAGACAUGGGCGUUUCAGGAUAGCCAGCCCCACUGCCUGAAGACAGCCAGUGUGUAGCAGUAGAAAGAGUGACUGUCCCGGUGUGGGGAGGAGUGAAUGUGGGAGAUCGGAAACAAAGCUUAAGUGUUUUGAAAUUUUCACUGUCUUUGCUCUGAAAGUCGGAUUUCUGGAUUGCUAUCCUUUUUUUUAAAAUUCACACACAUGAAAAUAAGGGUGAAAUUAUGUCAAUGGAGACUCUGUGCUGUUCACAUGACACAAGUGAGAAAAUAUCAUCUUUCUUUAAUUUCAUUUCCCUUGAAAAUAGUGGUUUCAAUUAAGUGAGAAAAAAAA